RNAcentral lists this long non-coding RNA (597 nucleotides) under Homo sapiens (human). Its description in RNAcentral is "non-protein coding lnc-TLE3-15:2". The record is from RNAcentral. Lineage: Eukaryota; Metazoa; Chordata; Mammalia; Primates; Hominidae.
AGCUCUGUUUCCUGCCAUUGCUCGAGGAGAUCUUCAUGAGUUUCAUAGGAGUAGGAUUGUGCCUUCAAUCCAUCAUCUUUCUAGGGAAGCCCAGAGUCACAUCUUCCACAGCUGUUUCAGAAAGCAGGCAGAAACAUUCUUCAUGUGGCUGGCUGCCUUUGGAACUGAACAUCAACAAAAGGCAAGCAACAGAAAUGGAGUGUCAGUCAGCACUUCCGAAGACCUAGCUUUUCAGCCAGAGAGGAAACCAGGCCAAGAGGCUUCCAGUCCAGUGUUUAAUUCUCCCUGGCCCCUCUUUGCAUGGGCCUCCUGAGGGGUAGCUCCUCCAAACGCUGCCCUGAGGUUUGACUGAAAUCUGUCAUUUCUUUGGUUGGAAGGUUGGUGUUUCCUUGCAAGGGACCACAAAGCCAUAUUACAUUCAAUGUUAAAUAAACAAAUGUUUGAAUCUGUGUUUUAUUGGUUCCAUACCAUCUGCCAUCUGGUUUGGGGGAGCAAGGAAAAUUGUGGUUUUGUUGGUUGUGUGUGUGUGUGUGUGUGAGUGUGUGUGUGUCUGUUGUUGUUCGUUUUUUGUUGUUGUUGUUGUUGGGGGUGGGGGUU